GACGAACGCUGGCGGCGUGCUUAACACAUGCAAGUCGAACGGAAAGGCCCUGCUUUUGUGGGGUGCUCGAGUGGCGAACGGGUGAGUAACACGCGAGUAACCUGCCCUUGACUUUGGGAUAACUUCAGGAAACUGGGGCUAAUACCGGAUAGGAGCUCCUGCUGCAUGGUGGGGGUUGGAAAGUUUCGGCGGUUGGGGAUGGACUCGCGGCUUAUCAGCUUGUUGGUGGGGUAGUGGCUUACCAAGGCUUUGACGGGUAGCCGGCCUGAGAGGGUGACCGGCGACAUGGGGACUGAGAUACGGCCCAGACGCCUACGGGAGGCAGCAGUGGGGAGUAUUGCACAAUGGGCGGAAGCCUGAUGCAGCGACGCCGCGUGCGGGAUGACGGCCUUCGGGUUAUAAACCGCUUUCGCCUGUGACGAAGCGUGAGUGACGGUAAUGGGUAAAGAAGCACCGGCUAACUACGUG
This 468-nucleotide ribosomal RNA is filed under the name uncultured bacterium. RNAcentral's name for it is "partial 16S ribosomal RNA". It matches the Rfam family "Bacterial small subunit ribosomal RNA", at positions 28 to 507 of the family's 1533-position model. The record is from RNAcentral.